GCAAGUCGAGGGGUAACAGGGUAGCUUGCUAUUGCUGACGACCGGCGCACGGGUGCGUAACGCGUAUACAAUCUACCUUAUACUGGGGUAUAGCCUUUAGAAAUGAAGAUUAACCCCCCAUAGUCUCUUUUAGUGGCAUCACUUUUAGAGUAAAGGUUACGGUAUAAGAUGAGUAUGCGUUCUAUUAGUUUGUUGGUAAGGUAACGGCUUACCAAGACUACGAUAGAUAGGGGCCCUGAGAGGGGGAUC
RNAcentral lists this ribosomal RNA (249 nucleotides) under uncultured bacterium. RNAcentral's name for it is "partial 16S ribosomal RNA". It matches the Rfam family "Bacterial small subunit ribosomal RNA", at positions 57 to 305 of the family's 1533-position model. The record is from RNAcentral.